This 480-nucleotide ribosomal RNA is filed under the name uncultured bacterium. Its description in RNAcentral is "partial 16S ribosomal RNA". It matches the Rfam family "Bacterial small subunit ribosomal RNA", at positions 28 to 507 of the family's 1533-position model. The record is from RNAcentral.
GAUGAACGCUGGCGGCGUGCUUAACACAUGCAAGUCGAACGGAACUACUCCAAUGAGAGUCUUCGGAAAGGAUUUGGUUUAGUUUAGUGGCGGACGGGUGAGUAACGCGUGGGUAACCUGCCCUAUACAGGGGGAUAACAGUUGGAAACGACUGUUAAUACCGCAUAAGCGCACAGGAGCGCAUGCUCCGGUGUGAAAAACUCCGGUGGUAUAGGAUGGACCCGCGUCUGAUUAGCUGGUUGGCGGGGUAACGGCCCACCAAGGCGACGAUCAGUAGCCGGCAUGAGAGGGUGAACGGCCAAAUUGGGACUGAGACACGGCCCAAACUCCUACGGGAGGCAGCAGUGGGGAAUAUUGCACAAUGGGGGAAACCCUGAUGCAGCGACGCCGCGUGAGCGAAGAAGUAUCUCGGUAUGUAAAGCUCUAUCAGCAGGGAAGAAAAUGACGGUACCUGACUAAGAAGCCCCGGCUAACUACGUG